This 874-nucleotide long non-coding RNA is filed under the name Heterocephalus glaber (naked mole-rat). Its description in RNAcentral is "lncRNA (ENSHGLG00100043618.1)". The record is from RNAcentral. Lineage: Eukaryota; Metazoa; Chordata; Mammalia; Rodentia; Bathyergidae.
CUUAAGGUAAUAAACUGGGAGUUCAAUCGCUGCACAGCAUAAUCGAGGCCAGAUCACAAGCUGGGAUCAGCCAUCAGCCGAGGGGCCAGGUGGCUUCUCCGUGUUCUGUGGUCAACGACCUCCUGUGCGGCGUGUGCUUGGUCAUAAAGGAACAGGUGUGACAGGUGGGUAAGUCACUGUGACAGCUACCCACACACAGACAAGCACAUUCUCAAAGCACAUAUCCCUCUGACCUCAAAUCCACACACCAAGGGAAACAGACCUAAAAAGGACUUUGUGUUUAGUCUCCUGAUCUGCAGAAGGAUACGCCCCUCACCGGAGGGGGCCAUGGAAAGUUGGCUCACUGCUUGUGACUCCCUGAGGUGGCGUGGGGCGUGAGCAAGAGCCUGGGCUCUGUGGUCUGACACAGCUCUGAGCGCCUCUCCCGCCACCUGUCAGAUGUGCGACCUCGGAAAUCUUACAGCAAAUCAGGCUGCUAAGCCUCAGAAAACACAAGGCUCUUCCAAAUUUCAGAGUACAACAAUGUGAUGGGGUCAGAAGAGAAAAUGCUGUAGAGCAAUGGGAAAGGGAAACCUGUAGAAACUGGCGUUGGACAAGAGAGCAAAGUUCAGGGAGAAAUUCUCUCCCAUACUGGCAACCAAAACAAGACUCACCCUGAAUCUGACACAGCUGGUCCACUCAGUCCCUUCCACCUCAGUGACUUUUAAGGGUCACAAAAAGCUCUUCAGGCUGAACUAAGCAAAUCUCGGGAAAGUUCAGGAAAAAGAUGCAGUGACCGACACACUUUGUCUUGGUCAUGCCGUCGCUAGCCAUCUCUCCUCAGAAAAGCAUUCCUCUAGUUCGAGGGAUGAGCUGACAGGAAACAAGUUUUAAG